UGGGGAAUUUUGGACAAUGGGCGCAAGCCUGAUCCAGCCAUGCCGCGUGUGUGAAGAAGGCCUUCGGGUUGUAAAGCACUUUCGGCCGGAACGAAAUCGCGCGGAUUAAUAACCCGCGUGGAUGACGGUACCGGAAGAAGAAGCACCGGCUAACUACGUGCCAGCAGCCGCGGUAAUACGUAGGGUGCGAGCGUUAAUCGGAAUUACUGGGCGUAAAGGGUGCGCAGGCGGUUCCGCAAGUCAGGCGUGAAAUCCCCGGGCUUAACCUGGGAAUGGCGCUUGAAACUACGGGACUCGAGUAUGGCAGAGGGAGGUGGAAUUCCACGUGUAGCGGUGAAAUGCGUAGAGAUGUGGAGGAACACCGAUGGCGAAGGCAGCCUCCUGGGCCAAUACUGACGCUCAUGCACGAAAGCGUGGGGAGCAAACAGG
This 429-nucleotide ribosomal RNA is filed under the name uncultured bacterium. Its description in RNAcentral is "bacterial SSU rRNA". It matches the Rfam family "Bacterial small subunit ribosomal RNA", at positions 355 to 776 of the family's 1533-position model. The record is from RNAcentral.